Molecule: ribosomal RNA, 504 nt
Filed under: uncultured bacterium
Lineage: Bacteria
Description: partial 16S ribosomal RNA
Rfam family: Bacterial small subunit ribosomal RNA
Source: RNAcentral
AUUGAACGCUGGCGGCAGGCCUAACACGUGCAAGUCGAGCGGUAGCACAGGGAGCUUGCUCCUGGGUGACGAGCGGCGGACGGGUGAGUAAUGUCUGGGAAACUGCCUGAUGGAGGGGGAUAACUACUGGAAACGGUAGCUAAUACCGCAUAACGUCGCAAGACCAAAGAGGGGGACCUUCGGGCCUCUUGCCAUCAGAUGUGCCCAGAUGGGAUUAGCUAGUAGGUGGGGUAACGGCUCACCUAGGCGACGAUCCCUAGCUGGUCUGAGAGGAUGACCAGCCACACUGGAACUGAGACACGGUCCAGACUCCCACGGGAGGCAGCAGUGGGGAAUAUUGCACAAUGGGCGCAAGCCUGAUGCAGCCAUGCCGCGUGUAUGAAGAAGGCCUUCGGGUUGUAAAGUACUUUCAGCGGGGAGGAAGGUGCUGAGGUUAAUAACCUCAGCAAUUGACGUUACCCGCAGAAGAAGCACCGGCUAACUCUGUGCCAGCAGCCGCCGUAA